UACAGGGGGUGCAAACGUUGCUCGGAAUCAUUGGGCGUAAAGCGCACGUAGGCGGAUUCUUAAGUCAGGGGUGAAAUCCUGGAGCUCAACUCCAGAACUGCCUUUGAUACUGGGAAUCUCGAGUCCGGGAGAGGUGAGUGGAACUGCGAGUGUAGAGGUGAAAUUCGUAGAUAUUCGCAAGAACACCAGUGGCGAAGGCGGCUCACUGGCUCGAUACUGACGCUGAGGUGCGAAAGCGUGGGGAGCAAACAGG
RNAcentral lists this ribosomal RNA (253 nucleotides) under uncultured bacterium. Its description in RNAcentral is "partial 16S ribosomal RNA". It matches the Rfam family "Bacterial small subunit ribosomal RNA", at positions 524 to 776 of the family's 1533-position model. The record is from RNAcentral.